UUAAGCGACUAAGCGUACACGGUGGAUGCCCUGGCAGUCAGAGGCGAUGAAGGACGUGCUAAUCUGCGAAAAGCGUCGGUAAGGUGAUAUGAACCGUUAUAACCGGCGAUGUCCGAAUGGGGAAACCCAGUGUGAUUCGUUGCACUAUCGUUAACUGAAUACAUAGGUUAACGAGGCGAACCGGGGGAACUGAAACAUCUAAGUACCCCGAGGAAAAGAAAUCAACCGAGAUUCCCCCAGUAGCGGCGAGCGAACGGGGAGCAGCCCAGAGUCUGAAUCAGCUUGUGUGUUAGUGGAACGGUCUGGAAAGUCCGACGGUACAGGGUGAUAGUCCCGUACACCAAAAUGCACAGGUUGUGAACUCGAAGAGUAGGGCGGGACACGUGGUAUCCUGUCUGAAUAUGGGGGGACCAUCCUCCAAGGCUAAAUACUCCUGACUGACCGAUAGUGAACCAGUACCGUGAGGGAAAGGCGAAAAGAACCCCGGCGAGGGGAGUGAAAAAGAACCUGAAACCGUGUACGUACAAGCAGUGGGAGCACCUUCGGGUGUGACUGCGUACCUUUUGUAUAAUGGGUCAGCGACUUAUAUUCUGUAGCAAGGUUAACCGUAUAGGGGAGCCGCAGGGAAACCGAGUCUUAACUGGGCGUUAAGUUGCAGGGUAUAGACCCGAAACCCGGUGAUCUAGCCAUGGGCAGGUUGAAGGUUGGGUAACACUAACUGGAGGACCGAACCGACUAAUGUUGAAAAAUUAGCGGAUGACUUGUGGCUGGGGGUGAAAGGCCAAUCAAACCGGGAGAUAGCUGGUUCUCCCCGAAAGCUAUUUAGGUAGCGCCUCGUGAAUUCAUCUUCGGGGGUAGAGCACUGUUUCGGCUAGGGGGUCAUCCCGACUUACCAACCCGAUGCAAACUACGAAUACCGAAGAAUGUUAUCACGGGAGACACACGGCGGGUGCUAACGUCCGUCGUGAAGAGGGAAACAACCCAGACCGCCAGCUAAGGUCCCAAAGUCAUGGUUAAGUGGGAAACGAUGUGGGAAGGCACAGACAGCCAGGAUGUUGGCUUAGAAGCAGCCAUCAUUUAAAGAAAGCGUAAUAGCUCACUGGUCGAGUCGGCCUGCGCGGAAGAUGUAACGGGGCUAAACCAUGCACCGAAGCUGCGGCAGCGACACUAUGUGUUGUUGGGUAGGGGAGCGUUCUGUAAGCCUGCGAAGGUGUGCUGUGAGGCAUGCUGGAGGUAUCAGAAGUGCGAAUGCUGACAUAAGUAACGAUAAAGCGGGUGAAAAGCCCGCUCGCCGGAAGACCAAGGGUUCCUGUCCAACGUUAAUCGGGGCAGGGUGAGUCGACCCCUAAGGCGAGGCCGAAAGGCGUAGUCGAUGGGAAACAGGUUAAUAUUCCUGUACUUGGUGUUACUGCGAAGGGGGGACGGAGAAGGCUAUGUUAGCCGGGCGACGGUUGUCCCGGUUUAAGCAUGUAGGCUGGUUGUCCAGGCAAAUCCGGAUAAUCAAGGCUGAGGUGUGAUGACGAGGCACUACGGUGCUGAAGUAACAAAUGCCCUGCUUCCAGGAAAAGCCUCUAAGCAUCAGGUAACAUUAAAUCGUACCCCAAACCGACACAGGUGGUCAGGUAGAGAAUACCAAGGCGCUUGAGAGAACUCGGGUGAAGGAACUAGGCAAAAUGGUGCCGUAACUUCGGGAGAAGGCACGCUGGUGUGUAGGUGAAGUCCCUGCGGGUGGAGCUGAGACCAGUCGAAGAUACCAGCUGGCUGCAACUGUUUAUUAAAAACACAGCACUGUGCAAACACGAAAGUGGACGUAUACGGUGUGACGCCUGCCCGGUGCCGGAAGGUUAAUUGAUGGGGUUAUCCGUAAGGAGAAGCUCUUGAUCGAAGCCCCGGUAAACGGCGGCCGUAACUAUAACGGUCCUAAGGUAGCGAAAUUCCUUGUCGGGUAAGUUCCGACCUGCACGAAUGGCGUAAUGAUGGCCAGGCUGUCUCCACCCGAGACUCAGUGAAAUUGAACUCGCUGUGAAGAUGCAGUGUACCCGCGGCAAGACGGAAAGACCCCGUGAACCUUUACUAUAGCUUGACACUGAACAUUGAGCCUUGAUGUGUAGGAUAGGUGGGAGGCUUUGAAGCGUGGACGCCAGUCUGCGUGGAGCCAACCUUGAAAUACCACCCUUUAAUGUUUGAUGUUCUAACGUUGGCCCCUNCGAUUGACGUUACCCGCAGAAGAAGCACCGGCUAACUCCGUGCCAGCAGCCGCGGUAAUACGGAGGGUGCAAGCGUUAAUCGGAAUUACUGGGCGUAAAGCGCACGCAGGCGGUCUGUCAAGUCGGAUGUGAAAUCCCCGGGCUCAACCUGGGAACUGCAUUCGAAACUGGCAGGCUAGAGUCUUGUAGAGGGGGGUAGAAUUCCAGGUGUAGCGGUGAAAUGCGUAGAGAUCUGGAGGAAUACCGGUGGCGAAGGCGGCCCCCUGGACAAAGACUGACGCUCAGGUGCGAAAGCGUGGGGAGCAAACAGGAUUAGAUACCCUGGUAGUCCACGCCGUAAACGAUGUCGAUUUGGAGGUUGUGCCCUUGAGGCGUGGCUUCCGGAGCUAACGCGUUAAAUCGACCGCCUGGGGAGUACGGCCGCAAGGUUAAAACUCAAAUGAAUUGACGGGGGCCCGCACAAGCGGUGGAGCAUGUGGUUUAAUUCGAUGCAACGCGAAGAACCUUACCUGGUCUUGACAUCCACAGAACUUUCCAGAGAUGGAUUGGUGCCUUCGGGAACUGUGAGACAGGUGCUGCAUGGCUGUCGUCAGCUCGUGUUGUGAAAUGUUGGGUUAAGUCCCGCAACGAGCGCAACCCUUAUCC
Molecule: ribosomal RNA, 2852 nt
Filed under: Klebsiella pneumoniae
Lineage: Bacteria; Pseudomonadati; Pseudomonadota; Gammaproteobacteria; Enterobacterales; Enterobacteriaceae
Description: bacterial LSU rRNA
Rfam family: Bacterial large subunit ribosomal RNA (bases 1-2398)
Source: RNAcentral